UGCAAGUCGAGCGGAGAGAGGNGCUUGCACCUUAUCUUAGCGGCGGACGGGUGAGUAAUGCUUAGGAAUCUGCCUAUUAGUGGGGGACAACAUUCCGAAAGGAAUGCUAAUACCGCAUACGUCCUACGGGAGAAAGCAGGGGAUCUUCGGACCUUGCGCUAAUAGAUGAGCCUAAGUCGGAUUAGCUAGUUGGUGGGGUAAAGGCCUACCAAGGCGACGAUCUGUAGCGGGUCUGAGAGGAUGAUCCGCCACACUGGGACUGAGACACGGCCCAGACUCCUACGGGAGGCAGCAGUGGGGAAUAUUGGACAAUGGGGGGAACCCUGAUCCAGCCAUGCCGCGUGUGUGAAGAAGGCCUUAUGGUUGUAAAGCACUUUAAGCGAGGAGGAGGCUACUGAGACUAAUACUCUUGGAUAGUGGACGUUACUCGCAGAAUAAGCACCGGCUAACUCUGUGCCAGCAGCCGCGGUAAUACAGAGGGUGCGAGCGUUAAUCGGAUUUACUGGGCGUAAAGCGUGCGUAGGCGGCUUUUUAAGUCGGAUGUGAAAUCCNCCGAGCUUAACUUGGGAAUUGCAUUCGAUACUGGGAAGCUAGAGUAUGGGAGAGGAUGGUAGAAUUCCAGGUGUAGCGGUGAAAUGCGUAGAGAUCUGGAGGAAUACCGAUGGCGAAGGCAGNCAUCUGGCCUAAUACUGAC
RNAcentral lists this ribosomal RNA (694 nucleotides) under uncultured Acinetobacter sp. Its description in RNAcentral is "bacterial SSU rRNA". It matches the Rfam family "Bacterial small subunit ribosomal RNA", at positions 56 to 744 of the family's 1533-position model. The record is from RNAcentral. Lineage: Bacteria; Pseudomonadati; Pseudomonadota; Gammaproteobacteria; Moraxellales; Moraxellaceae.